This is a regulatory RNA element of Flavobacterium sp., 126 nucleotides long. It matches the Rfam family "Bacteroidete tryptophan peptide leader RNA". The record is from Rfam. NCBI's taxonomy places the organism in Bacteria, Pseudomonadati, Bacteroidota, Flavobacteriia, Flavobacteriales, Flavobacteriaceae.
UCAUCAGUAAAAAAGAAAUAUGAAAACAAUUACUAACAAUACAUGGUGGUGGAACAAUUUACGUCGAUAGUCGUGAACAAAGCUCCUAUGGUAUAAUUAGUACACUAUAAAUAUAAAAGGCUUGUC